RNAcentral lists this ribosomal RNA (367 nucleotides) under uncultured organism. Its description in RNAcentral is "bacterial LSU rRNA". It matches the Rfam family "Bacterial large subunit ribosomal RNA", at positions 2099 to 2465 of the family's 2925-position model. The record is from RNAcentral.
CUUUACUGUAGCCUGGUAUUGGGUUCGGGCUUUGACUGCGCAGGAUAGGUGGGAGACUAUGAAGCUGCCCUUGUGGGGGCAGUGGAGUCAUCAGUGAGAUACCACUCUGUCAAGGCUAGAAUUCCAACCGUCUGCCGUUAUCCGGCGACGGAACAGUAUCAGGUGGGCAGUUUGACUGGGGCGGUCGCCUCCUAAAUGGUAACGGAGGCGCGCAAAGGUUCCCUCAGGCUGGUUGGAAAUCAGCCGAAGAGCGUAAAGGCAGAAGGGAGCUUGACUGCAAGAGCAACAACUCAAGCAGGGACGAAAGUCGGCCUUAGUGAUCCGACGGCGCUGAGUGGAAGGGCCGUCGCUCAACGGAUAAAAGUUA